AGUGUCCAAGAGGCUGCUUGUGAGUGAAGCAAGGGAGGAGGUGAUGGAGGUCACCCCAAAGUCUCCAAGAGAUUAAAAUAUUUUCUUUUCUCCUCAGUGACCCAUUCUACUCCAUCUCAGCUGCAUGAGAAGCACAAAACAUCUUACUACAAUGGGAAUUUAUAUGCAGAUGAGUUUUCCAUUGCAUUCACAAGCAGAUUCAAAUCCCUGGAGUUCUUGGGAGCCAGACCUCCAGCUCAGGUCCUCAAUGGUUUUUGAUGGUCUGGACUCUUGUCAAAGCUCCUGUUAUCAGGAACUGCCAGUUUUGCAGACCCAGGCUCUUCAUGGAUCAAAAGGAAGGAAUGGAAAUGCUACUGCUUUUUUCAGGGCCUGGCCAAGGUAAAAUCCCAGUUCAUGGCUCAGAACCACUCAAAGAUGAAAAAAUAAACACCCUAAAUAAAGAAGGCUGAAGUUCA
Molecule: long non-coding RNA, 455 nt
Filed under: Numida meleagris (helmeted guineafowl)
Lineage: Eukaryota; Metazoa; Chordata; Aves; Galliformes; Numididae
Description: lncRNA (ENSNMEG00000018188.1)
Source: RNAcentral